GUGCCAGCAGCCGCNGUAAUACGUAGGGUGCGAGGCGUUGUCCGGAAUUACUGGGCGUAAAGAGCUCGUAGGCGGUUUGUCGCGUCGUCUGUGAAAUCCUGCAACUCAAUUGCAGGCGUGCAGGCGAUACGGGCAGACUUGAGUACUACAGGGGAGACUGGAAUUCCUGGUGUAGCGGUGAAAUGCGCAGAUAUCAGGAGGAACACCGGUGGCGAAGGCGGGUCUCUGGGUAGUAACUGACGCUGAGGAGCGAAAGCGUGGGGAGCGAACAGGAUUAGAUACCCUGGUAGUCCACGCCGUAAACGGUGGGCGCUAGGUGUGGGGGUCUUCCACGACUUCUGUGCCGUAGCUAACGCAUUAAGCGCCCCGCCUGGGGAGUACGGCCGCAAGGCUAAAACUCAAAGGAAUUGACGGGGGCCCGCACAAGCGGCGGAGCAUGUGGAUUAAUUCGAUGCAACGCGAAGAACCUUACCUGGGCUUGACAUAUGCCGGAUCGGCGCAGAGAUGCGUUUUCCCUUGUGGUCGGUAUACAGGUGGUGCAUGGUUGUCGUCAGCUCGUGUCGUGAGAUGUUGGGUUAAGUCCCGCAACGAGCGCAACCCUUGUCUUGUGUUGCCAGCACGUUAUGGUGGGGACUCGCGAGAGACUGCCGGGGUUAACUCGGAGGAAGGUGGGGAUGACGUCAAAUCAUCAUGCCCCUUAUGUCCAGGGCUUCACACAUGCUACAAUGGUCGGUACAGUGGGUUGCGAUACCGUGAGGUGGAGCGAAUCCCUUAAAGCGUGUCUCAGUUCGGAUUGGGGUCUGCAACUCGACCCCAUGAAGUCGGAGUCGCUAGUAAUCGCAGAUCAGCAACGCUGCGGUGAAUACGUUCCCGGGCCUUGCACACACCGCCCGU
RNAcentral lists this ribosomal RNA (894 nucleotides) under uncultured bacterium. Its description in RNAcentral is "bacterial SSU rRNA". It matches the Rfam family "Bacterial small subunit ribosomal RNA", at positions 505 to 1397 of the family's 1533-position model. The record is from RNAcentral.